This 534-nucleotide ribosomal RNA is filed under the name uncultured bacterium. Its description in RNAcentral is "partial 16S ribosomal RNA". It matches the Rfam family "Bacterial small subunit ribosomal RNA", at positions 355 to 881 of the family's 1533-position model. The record is from RNAcentral.
UGGGGAAUUUUGGACAAUGGGCGAAAGCCUGAUCCAGCAAUGCCGCGUGUGUGAAGAAGGCCUUCGGGUUGUAAAGCACUUUUGUCCGGAAAGAAAUCCUUGGCUCUAAUACAGUCGGGGGAUGACGGUACCGGAAGAAUAAGCACCGGCUAACUACGUGCCAGCAGCCGCGGUAAUACGUAGGGUGCAAGCGUUAAUCGGAAUUACUGGGCGUAAAGCGUGCGCAGGCGGUUUGCUAAGACCGAUGUGAAAUCCCCGGGCUCAACCUGGGAACUGCAUUUGUGACUGGCGGGCUAGAGUAUGGCAGAGGGGGGUAGAAUUCCACGUGUAGCAGUGAAAUGCGUAGAGAUGUGGAGGAAUACCGAUGGCGAAGGCAGCCCCCUGGGCCAAUACUGACGCUCAUGCACGAAAGCGUGGGGAGCAAAACAGGAUUAGAUACCCUGGUAGUCCACGCCCUAAACGAUGUCAACUAGUUGUCGGGUCUUCAUUGACUUGGUAACGUAGCUAACGCGUGAAGUUGACCGCCUGGGGAGU